GUCCUGCUUCCUGCUGAGAACAGUCCCUCCCUUGUGCCCAUCGCACCGUUAGCUGGAGGUUCGGCCACGUCAAAUCGGUUUUCCAAAAAAGCAGGGAGUAGAGCUCUUUCUUCGCCCACACAGAAAGAGGAGCUGGGGAGCAAAAAGCUGCUACACUUUGCACUGGAGAUUCGUGGGCAAGGCUUCCCCUUCUCCCAGGCUGCUUCCACUCCCGGGUGAGGAGCGCCCUGUGAGUACCGACAGCACCUGGAAAAUGGAGCAGACGUGGACGAGAGAUUAUUUUGCAGAUGAUGAUGAGGAGAUGGUACCCAGAACAAGUCAUGCAGCAGCUUUUCUUAGCGACACUAAAGAUCGAGGCCCUCCAGCGCAGUCGCAGACCUGGAGAAGUGGUGAGAAGGUCCCCUUUGGGC
This is a long non-coding RNA of Equus quagga, 410 nucleotides long. RefSeq lists it as uncharacterized. The transcript is spliced from 3 exons. Lineage: Eukaryota; Metazoa; Chordata; Mammalia; Perissodactyla; Equidae. The record is from RefSeq and is a predicted model, not a curated record.